Molecule: ribosomal RNA, 429 nt
Filed under: uncultured bacterium
Lineage: Bacteria
Description: bacterial SSU rRNA
Rfam family: Bacterial small subunit ribosomal RNA
Source: RNAcentral
GAUGAACGCUAGCGGCAGGCCUAAUACAUGCAAGACGAACGGUAAGUUGAGUAGCAAUACUUAGCCAAGAGUGUCGUACGGGUGCGUAACACGUAUGCAACCUACCCUAUACAGGAGGAUAGCCUAGGGAAACCUGGAUUAACCCUUCAUAGUAUUAUUGGAUGGCAUCAUUUGAUAAUUAAAACUGAGGUGGUAUAGGAUGGGCAUGCGUCUGAUUAGUUAGUUGGCGGGUAAUGGCCCACCAAGACGAUGAUCAGUAGGGGUUCUGAGAGGAAGAUCCCCCCACACUGGCACUGAGAUACGGGCCAGACUCCUACGGGAGGCAGCAGUAGGGAAUAUUGGUCAAAUGGAUGCAAGUCUGAACCAGCCAAUGCCGCGUGCAGGAAGAAGGCCUUCUGGGUUGUAAACUGCUUUUGCCAGGGGAUAAAA